RNAcentral lists this ribosomal RNA (253 nucleotides) under uncultured bacterium. RNAcentral's name for it is "partial 16S ribosomal RNA". It matches the Rfam family "Bacterial small subunit ribosomal RNA", at positions 524 to 776 of the family's 1533-position model. The record is from RNAcentral.
UACGAGAGGCCCAAACGUUAAUCGGAAUUACUGGGCGUAAAGCGUGCGUAGGUGGUUUCUUAAGUCUGCUGUGAAAGCCCUGGGCUCAACCUGGGAAUGGCGGUGGAUACUGAGGAGCUAGAGUGCGGUAGAGGAGGGUGGAAUUCCCGGUGUAGCGGUGAAAUGCGUAGAGAUCGGGAGGAACAUCAGUGGCGAAGGCGGCCCUCUGGACCAGCACUGACGCUGAGGCACGAAAGCGUGGGGAGCAAACAGG